Molecule: ribosomal RNA, 253 nt
Filed under: uncultured bacterium
Lineage: Bacteria
Description: partial 16S ribosomal RNA
Rfam family: Bacterial small subunit ribosomal RNA
Source: RNAcentral
UACGUAGGUGGCAAGCGUUAUCCGGAUUUAUUGGGCGUAAAGGGAACGCAGGCGGUCUUUUAAGUCUGAUGUGAAAGCCUUCGGCUUAACCGGAGUAGUGCAUUGGAAACUGGGAGGCUUGAGUGCAGAAGAGGAGAGUGGAACUCCAUGUGUAGCGGUGAAAUGCGUAGAUAUAUGGAAGAACACCAGUGGCGAAAGCGGCUCUCUGGUCUGUAACUGACGCUGAGGUUCGAAAGCGUGGGGAGCAAACAGG